AUUGAACGCUGGCGGCAUGCCUUACACAUGCAAGUCGAACGGUAACAGGUCUUCGGAUGCUGACGAGUGGCGAACGGGUGAGUAAAACAUCGGAACGUGCCUAGUAGUGGGGGAUAACUACUCGAAAGAGUGGCUAAUACCGCAUGAGAUCUACGGAUGAAAGCAGGGGAUCGCAAGACCUUGUGCUACUAGAGCGGCCGAUGGCAGAUUAGGUAGUUGGUGGGAUAAAAGCUUGCCAAGCCGACGAUCUGUAGCUGGUCUGAGAGGACGAUCAGCCACACUGGGACUGAGACACGGCCCAGACUCCUACGGGAGGCAGCAGUGGGGAAUUUUGGACAAUGGGCGCAAGCCUGAUCCAGCAAUGCCGCGUGCAGGAUGAAGGCCUUCGGGUUGUAAACUGCUUUUGUACGGAACGAAAAGCCCCGGGUUAAUACCCUGGGGUCAUGACGGUACCGUAAGAAUAAGCACCGGCUAACUACGUGCCAGCAGCCGCAGUAA
RNAcentral lists this ribosomal RNA (498 nucleotides) under uncultured bacterium. RNAcentral's name for it is "partial 16S ribosomal RNA". It matches the Rfam family "Bacterial small subunit ribosomal RNA", at positions 30 to 523 of the family's 1533-position model. The record is from RNAcentral.